UGGAUAGUGGGCACUAAAUCUUGUGGAAAAUGUAGUACCUAGAUUUGGGGGUGUCACAGGUAGGUAUCAAAGCCUUAGGUUAUGAACCUUAGGUGGGGGGAAAAGCCUUAGGAAGUAACCUUUGAAAAGAUAGUAAUGAUAAACUCUUAUCGAGUUUUAGGAAAGAGAAAGUAAUAAAACACUUAUGUGCUUAUGUGAUUAUAACUUAUGUGCUCGUGAGUGUCGAGUAGUAAUGAU
This 237-nucleotide long non-coding RNA is filed under the name Panax ginseng (ginseng). RNAcentral describes it as "long non-coding RNA (PGIN_LNC002049)". Lineage: Eukaryota; Viridiplantae; Streptophyta; Magnoliopsida; Apiales; Araliaceae. The record is from RNAcentral.